RNAcentral lists this ribosomal RNA (253 nucleotides) under uncultured bacterium. Its description in RNAcentral is "partial 16S ribosomal RNA". It matches the Rfam family "Bacterial small subunit ribosomal RNA", at positions 524 to 776 of the family's 1533-position model. The record is from RNAcentral.
UACGAAGGGGGCUAGCGUUGCUCGGAAUUACUGGGCGUAAAGCGCACGUAGGCGGAUUGUUAAGUCGGGGGUGAAAUCCUGGAGCUCAACUCCAGAACUGCCUUCGAUACUGGCGAUCUCGAGUUCGGGAGAGGUGAGUGGAACUGCGAGUGUAGAGGUGAAAUUCGUAGAUAUUCGCAAGAACACCAGUGGCGAAGGCGGCGACCUGGGUAGAUACUGACGCUGAGGUGCGAAAGCGUGGGGAGCAAACAGG